GAAAAGGAUAAACGUCAACAUUCAGUGACCUGAACUUUCAAGAAAAUCUCUUUAAAAACCACUCUACGCCACCCCAUCUCAUUCGUGGUAUAUUAAGAUAUUGAUUUAUGCUUUUUCUUUCGAGAUUCAUCUUGUUGCGUGCAAAUACUGGGAAGCUGUUAACUGUCUCCGUUAUAAUAAUAAUAACACAGUAAUAUAAAGCCACAAUCAAGCUUUUUCCAUCAGAGAAAAUCGCACUUGUUCACUCACCUAAUAGUUCUGAUACUAUCCGAGAGUCUGUUUGGAUUCAGACACUCGAAAAUUCCGUGGGCUUUUUUCUUUCUUUCUUUUGGAUUGGCUGUUUUUAUCUGGAAUUAAGAGUAGGAAAAGGAUUGAAAAAGGGCAAAAAAAAAAAAGCAUUUUCCUUUUUUGUAAUUUGGCAAGUAAUAGACAGUGUGAUAGCAAGAGAGAGAUGAGUAAGAGCCUGGAAAAAAUGGCAUCAAUUGAUGUACAGUUGAGGCUAUUGGCACCCGGGAAGGUUUCAGAGGAUGAUAAAUUGGUGGAGUAUGAUGCUCUGUUAUUGGAUCGUUUUCUUGAUAUUCUUCAGGACUUGCAUGGGGAGGAAAUCAGAGAAACGGUACCGAGUUUUUAUUUUUAUUAAAUUUUCGAAUUUUGUUUAUUAUUUAAGUUUUUUAUUGUGGGUUUUGGCUAAUUUUGUGUUUUGAAUGGGAAUCCCACUUGCAAUUUGUUGAAUUAUUUUCUUAAUUUAUUCUGUGAAUAAGGAGUAAGCUUUUUCAGUGGACAUCCAUUUGAAAUAUUUUUAACCUAUUAAUGUUGCUUGUGCAUGGUUUUGUUAUCACCUUAAUGUAACUCCGACACUGUCAUAGGACUUCGUAGCUUUGUAUAACUCCAAUUUCCGCCUGACUGUAUCAUAGGGUUAAUAAUUAUGUUUUAUUGUCGCUAAUAUUUAACUUUGCAUUUUCUUUUGUCAAAUAAACAGCUUUCCGCUGCUAAUUCUUGUUUAGAGCUAUACAUAUUGUUUUAUUAGCUGAUGAUAUUUGGUUCUCUAAUACUUAACGAGUACAAAGCUCAGAACCUUGAAGUUCGCAUAAUGCUAUUAAAAACAUUCUUGAAGUUUUUAUUGAUGUCAAAGAAUGUGCAUCUGUUGGGAAUUUUACUGGUGUCAGUUUUUGUGAAACCUAUUUUGUGACUUUGAUUAUGGACAAGGUUCAAGACUGCUACGAGCUCUCUGCAGAGUAUGAAGGGUCGCGUGAUCCACAGAAACUGGAAGAGCUUGGGAAAGUCCUAACGAGUUUGGAUGCUGGGGAUUCUAUUGUGCUUGCAAAAUCUUUUUCCAACAUGCUUAAUUUAGCCAACUUGGCUGAAGAGGUUCAGAUUGCAUACAGACGUAGAAGUAAGCUAAAAAAGCGUGACUUUUCUGAUGAGGCCUCAGCAACAACUGAAUCGGAUAUUGAAGAGACACUAAAGAGGCUUGUAGGACAACUGAACAAGACUCCUGAAGAAGUUUUUGAUGCUUUGAAGAAUCAGACUGUUGAUUUAGUAUUUACAGCACAUCCUACUCAGUCUGUUCGUAGAUCUUUGCUUCAAAAGCAUGCAAGGUUUGUGAUUAAUGUUGGUUUAAUGAGAAGUAGCUUAUAUGUAUAGUUCAUUGUUUUACCUACAUGACAGGGCAUCGUGUGGCACCCGUACAUUAUUAUUCAUAUCUAGUUAAAUUUUUGGAAAAUUCUUACCUCUUCCAUUUGCAUGUUUCCAGGAUUCGAGAUUGUUUGACUCAGCUAAAUGCCAAAGACAUUACUCCUGACGAUAAGCAGGAGCUUGAUGAGGCGUUGCAAAGAGACGUAUGUUGUUUGUAUAUUAGGUCUGUCACAGCAUGUGUAACUUGUUCUUCUUAAGAGUUUUCUAUUGUGAUCUGAGUCAGAAUAAUGUCUAUUUUCUAAUUAUGCAUACUUGCACGCUGCAUUAUUUUGUUAGCCUAAAAUUAUUCUCCAACCGGAUCCGGAUCCGGAUCCGGAUCUGCUUUACUGUAACAAAUAACACAAAAAAGUGAUUAAUGGUACCCCUGUAGGUUCUAUACAUCAGUAAGUUUAACAUACUGCCAAGUCUGACUUCCAUGUUUGUGCCCCAUCAAAGCUGAGAAAUUUGAUCACCUCCCAUCGAAACAUACAUGCUCACACAUCUAUGUCGCUCCCUCUUAUAACCCAUUCUUAAGUGUAAAGCAUUUGCAUUAACAUAAGCAUUACCAUGCAUUGGUUUUGUGACCUUCCAACUGGUCCAUGAGUUUUAGAAGUGCUAAAAAGUCCAAAUUUCCUAAAAUGCUCCUUAAUGGGGUGUGUAGAUGAGAAUAAAUGAAUCCUCAGUUUAUGGUGUAAUGUCUAAGAAGUGAGCUACUUAGGUCAUCUCAUCACUGAAGUUAUUAAAUAAUUGAAUAACUCAACUUUUGGAGAAUAUCAGUCCCAUUUUUGACUGAUUAUCAUAAUGCAGUCAUCUAGGAAGCAUUGAUACGGACACGAGUGUCAGACUGACGAUGUAUCUUUUAGCGUGUUGGUAAUGCGUUCAAGUACAAAACCAAAAAAAUAAUUUGAACACACCACUUCACAUUUUCAGCAUGUGUCAGUGUUGGACACGAUGUAUCUCUAGUGCGUCGGUAACGCAUCCAAUUAUACGAAACUAAAAAAGGAUUAGGGCAUACCACUUCACAUUUUCAUUAUGUGUCAGCAACGUGUCGGAGUCUGAUAUGACUUGCCGGUGUUGGGAGAGUGUCGGUGCAUCCCAUGACUUGCCGGUGCUCGUAGAGUGCCAGUGAGUCCUAGGGAUUCGUUAAUUAAAACUUGAUACUAACAAAAUCAAUGCCAAUCUCUCCAAACUUCAAUUUCUUCACAUUUAUCUUUUAAUCCUUUGUCCAUGCAUGUAGAUACAAGCUGCUUUUCGCACUGAUGAAAUUAGGAGGAAUCCUCCUACUCCUCAAGAUGAGAUGAGGGCAGGAAUGAGUUACUUCCAUGAAACGAUUUGGAAGGGGGUGCCAAAAUUCUUACGACGCGUUGACACUGCUUUGAAAAACAUUGGAAUAAAUUAGCGUGUUCCCUAUAAUGCUCCUCUUAUCCAAUUCUCUUCUUGGAUGGGUGGGGAUCGUGAUGGUAUUGUUUUCUAAUUUCUUAUUUUGCCGGAGUAAUUAUCACUUUUCUUUAUUUGCAUGAUAUUUUCUUUGAGAAGCAGGGCAUAUUCUAAGAUCUGCUUUAAUAAAAAAUCGAUGAACAGACAAGGCUGCCCCAACUGUGGUUUUUCAUUUAUUUUAUUUUAUUUUUGUUAGGCUGUCUCACAUAAACUUUAUCAAGUGCUUCAUUCCACAAAUAUCCAUAUAUAAAUGGGAACUUUUCAAAGUAUGCAUCCAAAUUAUAAAAUGUAAAUGUCUGGAAUGGUAGAAUUAUGGUCUUCCCUUUGUAGUUGUUGAAAAGCAGCUAAUUUCCUAUUGACAUUGGAAAUCAAUGAGUGCACAAACUGAUUUCUUUACGAAUCUGCAUCUGUCGUUUAUCUCCAUGGCAGAGAAAAUAACACAAUUAUGGUUAUUUGUUUUGAAUAAAUUUUCAAGCCAGCAAAUACUUUAUUUACCAUAUCUAGAUCUUGAAGCACUCUUCUUAAAAUUCAUUUUCCAACUUGUUAGUCAAAGUGCAAUUAAGACAUGUUUAAAUGUUGUGGCAGGCAAUCCAAGGGUAACUCCUGAAGUUACAAGGGAUGUAUGCUUAUUAGCUAGAAUGAUGGCUGCUAAUUUGUACUUCUCCCAGAUUGAGGAUCUCAUGUUCGAGGUAAGAAAUAGUCACCGCGGCAUUAACCUUUGAGCAGUGCCUGGAUUGAUCAAAACUUCGAAUUUUUAUAAAAUAUACUGUCUCUGGUAGCUUUCUAUGUGGCGCUGCAAUGAAGAACUCCGUGCACGUGCAGAUGAACUUCACAGCACUUCCAAAAGAGAUGCAAAGCAUUACAUUGGUAUGUUCUUUUUAUUUUUAGUUUGAACUGACAUACUUAUUCAAAUAUUUCCCCAUCACUGGUGAUAGCAUUUAUUUAUUUUCUUCAUUUACCUUUUGUAUUCUUUUUGGUUAUUCCAGUCAUCAUCUAACUAUGUCUGUGGUCUUUAAUCUUUAUAGUUUCAUUGAUAUUAUAAGUCUGCAUACUUGUACCCCUUUUCCAUUAUCUUUAAUACAUUCUUUUGAUCUAAUCUUGUGCUCCUUGAAUAAUUCUUUCCCUUAUUAUGAAGGUGCUAGUAAAUGGUAAUUAAUCUGGGAGUAGAUUGUAUUAUUUAAUUCUUCUUAAAAAUUCAAAUAUGACGGGUUUCUGUUUGUCUGAUAGUUCUUCUCAUGUUUGAUACCAGAGUUCUGGAAGCAAAUUCCGCCAAAUGAACCAUAUCGUGUUAUUCUUGCUGAUGUGAGGGACAAGCUGUAUCAUACACGUGAACGUGCUCGUCAAUUGCUAGCCAAUGGAAUCUCUGAUAUUCCAGAGGAGGCAACCUUCAUCAAUGUUGAUGAGGUCUGGCCCUGACAAGAACUUGUAUCUUCGCUAAUUCGCUCACAUUUUUAAUUUUCAGAAUGCAAGUUGUGAACAAAUUGACUGAAUAUUUUUGAAACAUUAGAUGUAUCAUAGAGACUCAUUAUUACUGUCAUUGCUUUAUUAUGCGCAAUUGCCUGUGGGCUUGAUCAACAAUCUCUGUGGAUUAGUUUAUUAUCACUCUAUGCCAACUCAUUCUACAGCACACAUUUCUAUAGAUGAUAAAAAUAAAAGCAAACAAAUCCCUUUUACCUUGUACAGUGUAUAGGUUAUUAUUACAAACAGGAUCCGAAAAACAUAGAUGAAAACAUAAAAUCGCAGAUUACAUCAUAAACCCUAAAUCACAACAUCAAGGCUUAGAUCUCUCAAUCGAAGGCUCAAACCACGCCCAUUUUACCAUCACAGAGGCACCGAGACUCAAACACAAACCCUCACAACCCAACACACCAAGGUCACUUCACUGGACUCAAGAAAUCAAACUGCCUACCUUCGGUCGAUUACUCACACAAAGGAGAAUCACACAAGAACACGAUUAUCACAAAGAUAAUCAACCAGAAAUCUCACAAAGAGAAGAAGGAAGGGUCACACAGACAGGGAACACGAAGGUUCCAGAAGGCAGAGAGAAAGAAAGAAAUCAGAAAUGACGAUCCCAAGAGCCAAACAAGGAGUAAGGGGGAUAUUUAUAGGUAAUAUCAUCAACCGUUGAUCAGCGGGUCAAUCCAACGGUCCAAGAGCGACUAAGGUGUGUGGGCUGGAUAUUGGGCUCGGUUAAGUGGGCCUUCUAGGUAUAUAAUUAAUGGACCAAGUAUUAAAUCCAUUUUGGGCCUUUUCAUCAUUGCCUAACAGUUGGACUNGUCGAUUACUCACACAAAGGAGAAUCACACAAGAACACGAUUAUCACAAAGAUAAUCAACCAGAAAUCUCACAAAGAGAAGAAGGAAGGGUCACACAGACAGGGAACACGAAGGUUCCAGAAGACAGAGAGAAAGAAAGAAAUCAGAAAUGACGAUCCCAAGAGCCAAACAAGGAGUAAGGGGGAUAUCUAUAGGUAAUAUCAUCAACCGUUGAUCAGCGGGUCAAUCCAACGGUCCAAGAGUGACUAAGGUGUGUGGGCUGGAUAUUGGGCUCGGUUAAGUGGGCCUUCUAGGUAUAUAAUUAAUGGACCAAGUAUUAAAUCCAUUUUGGGCCUUUUCAUCAUUGCCUAACAGUUGGACUGGAUCAAAUGGCAUCACAGCCCAACAGUUAUUUUAAGUGGCAAGUAAUUAAUUAAUUGGUUCGAUCCAUCUCACUUCUAGGUUUGUUUUGAACUACUCACAAAUGGAGAAUUUAAGUAUGUUAAAUGAAUUUAUGCUUUUUGAGAGUGAAAGUUUCUGAUAGAAGAGGGUAAAUAACCAACAUCCUAAUGGAAUACUGUUGAAAUGUCUUCUGAGAGGAACUAGUGCUGAUGAAUGUAGUGAUGGAUGCAGUGCCAUAUUGACAAUAGAACGUAAAUAAUUGAAGAUACUCGUACACAAGAAACCAAUUAGAGAAGAGAAAUUAAAUUCUGAAGAAUUUAAUGAUGGAUUUGUCAUAUAAAUAGUAUACCUUUAUAACAAACAUUGAAUAUGCAUUUAGCUUGCAUUUUAUUUCUUUAGUUUAUUUGUGAUCCAUGAACACCAAAAAUUGUAAAGUUGCAAGAAAAUAGAACUGUUGUGUUGUGUAAUGUUUAUGUAAUUCUGCAUACUGAUGAUUCAUUUUCUUCAUCUUCAGUUUCUUGAGCCUCUUAAGCUGUGUUAUAGAUCACUCAGUGAUUGCGGUGAUCGGCCAAUUGCUGAUGGAAGCCUUCUUGAUUUCUUACGACAAGUUUCAACGUUUGGGCUUGCACUCGUGAGACUUGAUAUAAGGCAAGAGUCAGAUAGGCACACUGAUGUUCUAGAUGCUAUUACAAGGCACCUGGAGAUCGGGUCGUACAAAGAAUGGUCAGAAGAACGCAGACAGGAGGGGCUUUUAUCUGAACUUAGUGGCAAACGCCCUCUUUUUGGGCCCGAUCUUCCCAAAACCGAAGAAAUUGCUGAUGUCUUAGAAACCUUUCAUGUCAUUGCUGAACUCCCGUCGGAUAACUUUGGGGCCUACAUAAUUUCCAUGGCAACUGCCCCAUCUGAUGUCCUUGCAGUAGAGCUUUUACAACGCGAGUGCCAUGUCAAAAAUCCUCUAAGGGUGGUCCCAUUGUUUGAAAAGCUUGAUGAUCUUGAGGCUGCACCUGCUGCUGUGGCUCGGCUUUUCUCAAUAGAUUGGUAUCGUAAUAGGAUUAAUGGGAAACAAGAAGUCAUGAUUGGGUAUUCGGAUUCAGGAAAGGAUGCUGGACGGCUUUCUGCAGCAUGGCAGUUUUAUAAGGCCCAGGAGGAGCUUAUAAAGGUCGCAAAACAAUAUGGCAUAAAGCUCACAAUGUUUCAUGGCCGAGGUGGGACGGUUGGAAGAGGAGGCGGCCCAACCCAUCUUGCUAUAUUAUCUCAGCCACCGGACACCAUUCAUGGCUCACUUCGUGUCACUGUUCAAGGUGAAGUUAUUGAACAAUCAUUUGGCGAGGAGCACUUAUGUUUCAGAACGCUCCAACGUUUUACUGCAGCUACACUUGAGCAUGGAAUGCGCCCCCCUGUUGUACCGAAGCCAGAAUGGCGUGCUCUCAUGGAUGAGAUGGCUGUGUUUGCCACAAAAGAGUAUCGUUCUGUGGUUUUCCAGGAACCUAGAUUUGUUGAGUACUUCCGCCUCGUAAGUAUUUAUAUACUAUAGUAUUUUUUUGGUCAGAAUCUGCAAGAAAAUCACAUAUAAACACAGUAAACCUAAUAGGUUUAGAUUGAAGAAUGGUAACUUCUACAUGUGGAAAUAUAAGUUGGCAUCAAAGUUGGCAGUUUGACUAAAGAAGACUGAUAAUUGUUGGCUUACCCAUAUGGUGAAUAGGGCUUUUGUAACAUUUUCUUGUCUAGCUCUCUUUCUGAGAAUUGCAGGCAACACCUGAGUUAGAGUAUGGUCGGAUGAACAUCGGAAGCCGCCCAUCAAAAAGAAAGCCUGGCGGUGGAAUAGAAUCACUUCGAGCCAUUCCAUGGAUAUUUGCGUGGACGCAGACAAGAUUUCAUCUUCCUGUCUGGCUUGGCUUUGGAGCUGCAAUCAAGCAUGCCAUUGGGAAGGAUAUUAGAACUCUUCAAACUCUCAAGGAUAUGUACAAUGGAUGGCCUUUCUUCGGAGUGACAAUUGACUUGAUUGAAAUGGUUUUGGCCAAAGGAGACCCAGAAAUUGCUGCUUUGUACGACAAAUUUUUAGUGUCAGAAGAUUUGUGGCCAUUUGGAAAGCAACUGGGAAACAAUUAUGAAGAAACUAAGAAUCUGAUCCUUCAGGUAAGGGCCUUCUUUCCAUUUUAAUACCUUUAUUCACUAAAACAUAACUGUUCUACAACCUUAAUGUGGAUGCUAUUGUUGUUUCCCAUCACGCUUUACGCUAUCGUGUGAAAACUGUGUCCUGCUAAAUGAAAGAUGAAAUGGAAAGACUUUCUCAAUGUCGCUUUUCUUUGUGAAUAUAUGGUAAUUACUUUUCGAGUAUGUAAAAAAUUGACGGUUAGUUGAUUUUUGUCAACUUCCAAGAAAUAGAAGGUGAAAAAAGAAUGUUGAGCUGAGAAUGCGUGGUGGAUUUUAAUUUAUUUGUUUUGCAUGCUCAUCGUUCUUUUUAUUUUGGUUAACGAUAAAGAAGUUCAGUUGCUACUAGUUCAUGAUUAGUUCAACUUCCAUUCAAUGGAAGUAAUGCAAAAUAUCCUGAAAUGGGAAGCUGUUAUGGCCUCUCUUCUUAGGUUGCCGGACACAAGGAACUUCUCGAAGGAAAUCCCUACUCGAGGCAGAGAUUCCGACUUCGGGAUCCGUACAUCACCGUCCUUAACGUCUGCCAAGUCUACACGUUGAAGCAGAUACGUGAUCCAACUUACCGUGUAAAGGUGAGGCCACAUCUCUCAAAAGAGAUAAUGGAAAUGGAUAUGAGAAAACCGGCUGCUGAACUGGUGAAGCUCAACCCUAAAAGUGAGUAUGCUCCCGGGUUGGAAGUCACGCUUAUCUUGACCAUGAAGGGUAUUGCAGCUGGAAUGCAGAACACGGGCUAAGGUCGGGUUAUCUUGCCCGUGCUAGAUAUAUGGUGUCAGUUAAAUUACAAGGAAAUGAAAACGUGGCACUCGUUUGUUGGAUGCGAUAAUGUUGCCUGUAAGUACUUAACCAAGUAGCUUGCCCCAAAUAAAAUCUUAAAGCUUUUGUAUUUUGGUCAUUUGGUGCCUACCUUUAUAUGACAAUGCUCUGUGAGGAAACAUCAAAGGUUUAAGAAUACAGAGAUUAAGAAUUUGCUAUUUUAUUUUGAAAUGAUCUCUUCCUUUUUGUUGAAUUUUGACUUUUUCCAUUAGUGUUGAGC
RNAcentral lists this long non-coding RNA (8952 nucleotides) under Olea europaea subsp. europaea. The record is from RNAcentral. Lineage: Eukaryota; Viridiplantae; Streptophyta; Magnoliopsida; Lamiales; Oleaceae.